AUACAAUUGAAGCAACUAUAAUUGAGGCUUCGUUCAGAAUAACAAAGAGAGAUUAUGAUAUGUGUCAUGAAAAAGUACGAUAAAAAAAUAUAUAAUUAUUUUCGUAGAUUCAUAAUGAGCCGAUUAUAUAACGAUAUAUCUUUUGUUGUCUCAUCAGAAACGCAAAAAUGUAUCUCUACACGCUUUCGGCCUAAAUCUAAUAGACCUAAUAAUGCUUGACGACACCGACUAUCCCUAGAGCAAGUGGCAAAGGGCUUUGUGGUUGGUAUUCGAGACCCAAGUUCGAAUCCUAGUUGAUUCACAUUUCUGGCUAAGUUUAUUUCUAAAUGAAAUAAACGAAGCGGGUAGCGUGCUAUCCAUCUCAAAAAAAAAUAAAAUAAAAUAAAAUAAUGCUUGACG
Molecule: long non-coding RNA, 399 nt
Filed under: Ananas comosus (pineapple)
Lineage: Eukaryota; Viridiplantae; Streptophyta; Magnoliopsida; Poales; Bromeliaceae
Description: long non-coding RNA (ACOM_LNC032193)
Source: RNAcentral